CCCACUCCUAUGCUGUCUGUAGACACUGUCAUAAACAAAUGUCAGAAGACUAUUAUUUAUUUUGUGCUAACAGCAAUUUUUUUUUCCUGAGGUUCCUGGCUCUUUGGGAAUAUGAUUCUCCUCUCUGAGCUGAUUCUGAUUGGAAGGCACCAUUUUCAUGUUCUAAGCAAAGGCAGAACCACAUUAUUAGCCUUAAACAAAGGGACAUAAUCAUUUUAGAAACCUCUAAAAUAGCAUUAAUAGCAACAAAUGGAGAUUCCUUUAUACAGCCAUCCCAAAGACACGGAUGCUUCAGUGUAAAGGACUUAUUUUUCCUCUUGCCUUUCCUCCUCCCAGUGUUGUCUGUCUUCAUGGUGAUGUGAAGGGACCCACUGGCCAGAAGAUUCAUCAUUCUCUGCACGCUGGCAGGAAAUAAGGAGUUGCCAAGCACUAACCAGAGAGUGAACGGAAAUUGUUGAAGGACGGAAGAAGAAAAUUAGAUAUAGGCUGUCAGUGCACAUGUUUUUUGCACUAAAUUAUAAACAAUAUACUGUUAAUAUUUAAAUCAUGAAGGAAUACCAGAAUAAAAAAUAUGUGUCCUUGCUUUUCUAUCAUUUCACUUUCUCUUCACCAAGUCAGUAUCAAAAGUAUGCUGUCUUUGUGCUCCAUGUCAUCAGGCAUAUGCACAUCUGCAAGUAUAUAACACUGUAGAGAUAUUAAAGGCAAAUAGGAAGCAUUCAGAAAACGUCAUGAACAUCAAAUGUCAAUUGCAACACAAGAUUUUGAUACAACUCUUGAUUUGACUGGAUUACUUCUCAACCAUCAGUAAUGCUCCAUUGUGGGAGCCUGUGUCUCAACAGUUCACACCUGCCUUUUACUCCACUGGGUUGUGAAGAUUCACGGAAGAUGACAGAAAGGGGUAGAAAUAAGCUAAAAUAAACCUUAGAGGACGGCCCCA
This is a long non-coding RNA of Cebus imitator (Panamanian white-faced capuchin), 937 nucleotides long. RefSeq lists it as uncharacterized. The record is from RefSeq and is a predicted model, not a curated record. The transcript has 3 exons. Lineage: Eukaryota; Metazoa; Chordata; Mammalia; Primates; Cebidae.